AGGCAGAUAAGGCCAGACAGAAAUGGUUGAGGAGAGACAGGGAAAGAUCGGGAAAGAUCUCGCAAGGAACAGAAAGUCAUUUAAAGAGCAGAACCACCUGAGGCAAAGGCGAUUCCUGUGCUGUCCCUGUGUCCAGCCGACCAGGUCUCUCCAGGCCCCAGACCACUGUCAGUCACUCUUUAUCGAAUAUGAUAGUUUUUCUUUUUAACACAUUACAUUUAUCAUGUAUUUGGAUUUAUGUUACUAUCAUAAGUUGCGUUUUCUCUUCACUAAUUUAUUAUUAUUUUUUUCCUGACUUCAGUUGGACUGACACACUAUCCCCACUCCUGCCACUUUUUUCCCCUCCCGUCUUGGAAAUUAUAUUCUUCUUUUAGUGGUUAUCUUAAAUUGUUAGCAUAUAUACAUUUUUCUAAUAGUCUACAGUUUUUAGCAGUGCUAUUUUCUUGAACAAGGCAGAAACUUGGUGUGACUUAACAAAAUUCCCUACUUUAUUCUACCUUAUUUUUCCUUAAUAAUGUGGUCAAUAAUUUUACUUUUCCUUUUUUAUAAAUUAAAAAACGAAUUAGACACUGGAAUUUUGUUCGUGUGUUUUGCCAUCUGUGGCAGACGCUGUUGGUUGCCUACCGGCAGCCACUUUCUCUUCUUUCCUGCCAAGAGAAUCCUGAUUUUGUUCAGGUGGCAAAGGACCCAGUUCCAGGAGAUGAAGCAAGCCUGUUAUAUCCACACAGUAAGCCUGUUCCUUUUUACCAGGAAUUACUCUAAGGAUGGACCAGCCGGGGCCAGUGAGACAUAAGAUGUCUGCUGGGGGCUUCAUGGAAAGAGUCUCUUUCUUUCCAGAAAAAAAGGCACAUUAGAAAGCUUCCUUUCUCCUAACAUUUCCCUGCUUCCUGAUUGGGAUACUAUAUGGUGAUGACAUGAUGUCUGGAGCUGCAGCAGCAUCUCAUAACCAUGAGGAGGGAGUACACCCUGAGGAUGGCAGAACAGAAUGAUGGAAUGAGACAGAGUCCUUCAAGUCAAUACUGGACCACUGUCACAGCCCUGGAACUCCAUACCUCCCCACUUAUUAUAAGCUAAUUUAAUAUUUUUUAGUUUAAGUCACUGUAGAUUAUUCUUUGUAGCAGAAAGCAUCCUGAUAUACUAUCUAUAGUUAAUUAAAUUUGCCAACAUAAUGUGUCAAUUUCUGUGCUCAGUGUUGGUGCUAGCAACCUGCUCCUUCUCCAGAGCUGACUUUUCUUCUUUCUGAAGUAUACUUUUAGUAGAUCUUUUAGUAAGGGUCUGUGAGUGAUAAAGCUAUCUUAAUAUGUCCGGAAAUAUCUUUUAUUUUACCUCCUUCUUGAAUGAUAGCUGGAUAUUGGAUUCUAGCUUCUCUAAGAUACUCCUCUAUGAUAUUUUGGCAUCUAAUAUUGAUGAGAUGUUGCCUGUCAAUCUAAUUGUCAGCCAUUUGAAUUCCUUUUUCUCUAGUUUUUAAUAUUUUCUCUUUCUUAUCCACAGUUUCACUAUAUUAUGUCUAGGUAUCUAUUCUGUUUGGUAUUCAUGCUGUUUCUUCAAUUCUGGAAUUCUCAGCCAUUAUCUCUUCAAAUACUAUUUCUCUGCUAUUUUCUUAACUUGUACCUGAAAUUCUUACUAGACACAAGCUAAAACUUGUCAGUCUGUCCUCUGCGUCUGUGCUGCAUUCUAGACAAAACUCUCAGUAUUAGCUUCCAAUUCAUGAAUUCUGUGUCUAGGCUAGAGUUCUGUCUCUUGCGUCAAAUUCUAAUGACACUAUUUUUUACUGCUAGAAUUUAUUUAACAUUUUAAUUUUUAGAUACUCUUGUUUCUUCCCCCGGCCAUAACUUCCCUUUCUUUUCUUUAAUGGAUUUCAUGUUUCUUUAUCUCUUUGAGGGCCCUGAACCUAUUCAUGAAAGACUUUUCUGAUUACUCUGUUAUUUUCACUUCUUCUGAAGUAAAUUUUUCUUUGAUUUUGUUCUUUUUUUUUUUUCCUUGCAGUAGUUUUCCUCAUGUGUUUCUGAACUUCAGUGGAUAAACUAAUCUUACCUCCUAUUUUACUUUCCAUCCUCAUCUAGGGGUUUUCAUCUUUGCCUCCCCAGGUCCUCCUUUGGGGCUUCCGGUCUAAAAUCGAAUCUUGUAGCUGCAGCUCAGCCUGGGUCCAGGCUGUGAGAUUCUGUCUCCGAAUAGAAGCAUCCUUACAAACCACAAACCCCAAGGAAGGGUUGGAAGGAAGUUUUUCCAGCCUACUUUCCCAGCACCUGGGUUCAAGCAGUGUACGAGCUCUAAUUCCGUGCGUCAUGUGGAGCACUUUAUAGCUUUGUUACCCCAGAAUUCCAGCUGCCUGCCUCCUUCCAGACUCAGAGACCAGCAGACCUGCAGCUUCGGCCCUGUUCUCUUGUUUUUAUCCCCGUUCUCAUCACAGGGAUGUUUUAUCAUUUUGUGUGGGAGGAGGGAGAGGGAGCGCAUGACUGUUUUUAGAGUGUAAUCUUUUUAUGUAUUACUGCUAUGUGUUUAGAGUAUAAAUUUACGGUGCCAUCUUGACUGGAUGAGUUGGAUUAAACUAUUUGUACUGGGGAACUAGGGAUCCCUGCCAGCACUGUCUCCUGGGACGGCAUAUCAAACCAACUCUAAUGAGAUUCACAGAACUCCAGCCAGCACACUGAAGGAAGCAGACUGACAUAGCCUGGGGACCUACCACUGACCUGCAUAUGGCAAGCAUCAGAAAAAUAUUUGUUCAACUGAGUAUCAUCUCUACAUAUAAUCCCAGAGUUAUAAGAAUCAGAAGAAAUAAUGUCAUGUCUUCUGGAACAGUCAGCCUGUGGCAGCUAUGCUAAUGGAAACCUAAAGGUGUCUGAACCCAUGCUUGGGCCAGCAGAUUAAAGGGAGGCAAUGUCCCUCUCCCCCAGGAGUGCAGGAAGAGAGAAGCAAAGUCAAAGGA
Long non-coding RNA from Pteropus alecto (black flying fox), 2926 nucleotides. RefSeq lists it as uncharacterized. NCBI's taxonomy places the organism in Eukaryota, Metazoa, Chordata, Mammalia, Chiroptera, Pteropodidae. The record is from RefSeq and is a predicted model, not a curated record. The transcript has 3 exons.